AACGAACGCUGGCGGCAGGCUUAACACAUGCAAGUCGAACGCACCUUUCGGGGUGAGUGGCAGACGGGUGAGUAACGCGUGGGAAUCUACCCUUCUCUACGGGAUAGCUCCGGGAAACUGGAAUUAAUACCGUAUACGUCCUGAGGGCGAAAGAUUUAUCGGGGAAGGAUGAGCCCGCGUUGGAUUAGCUAGUUGGUGGGGUAAAGGCCUACCAAGGCGACGAUCCAUAGCUGGUCUAAGAGGAUGAUCAGCCACAUUGGGACUGAGACACGGCCCAAACUCCUACGGGAGGCAGCAGUGGGGAAUAUUGGACAAUGGGCGCAAGCCUGAUCCAGCCAUGCCGCGUGAGUGAUGAAGGCCCUAGGGUUGUAAAGCGCUUUCAGGGGGGACGAUAAUGACGGUACCCACAGAAGAAGCCCCGGCUAACUUCGUG
This 433-nucleotide ribosomal RNA is filed under the name uncultured bacterium. Its description in RNAcentral is "partial 16S ribosomal RNA". It matches the Rfam family "Bacterial small subunit ribosomal RNA", at positions 29 to 507 of the family's 1533-position model. The record is from RNAcentral.